Molecule: long non-coding RNA, 1569 nt
Organism: Cygnus olor (mute swan)
Lineage: Eukaryota; Metazoa; Chordata; Aves; Anseriformes; Anatidae
Exons: 5
Source: RefSeq, a predicted model, not a curated record
CUAGAAUACUAUCUGAAAGCACACGCCCUAUUUUAGAAAAUAUGCCAGAAUUUCUUUCUCUCAGCCCUUCCUUUGAAGGGAGGAGGACUACCAGUUGCUGUAAUUCACCUAAUGCAUUGACUUGUUAUCCAAGGCAAUUACAAUUAAAUGGUCUUCUGCUUUACUAUCUUUCAGCUGUUUCAUGCUCCACAACUCUAUGCAGACUGGCUUUUAUCUUCUCCAAGAGCUGAGAGUCCAAAAGGUGCUGUCUGUGCCUGCUCAGAGGAGCCCAGCUGUAUACCAUUACCUGCAACAAUGUGUAAUGCAGUUCCGGGGGGGGGGGGGGGGGGGCGGUGUUUGAGACAGUUUGCUCAGUGUUUAUGGCUGCUAUAAAGUCUAUUCUCUGGCUGAUUACUGGAGAGGGAAGUCCUGGUAAAGCAGCACAGAUCACAGGUGUUGAUUCAAGGACCAGUGGAGGCAAUCCAAUUUCUUGUGUUUGAACAGGAUGUGCACAGGACAUGGACUGUAAAACAUUGUCAACAGCAAGUGAAUUAUAAGUUACUGCAUAUAGUAAUAUGUACCUGAUAGAAAAGUAGAUAAAUUUUCUGGAAUGUUUUCAGUAUUUUACAGUGUUAAAGUAUAUUCUAACUGUGCAAAGAUAUGAAAAAGAUAGAGGCAUAGUACCUAAUCUGUGUUUGGGAAGCUGACUUGUGCUAAGCAGUGUUUCUCAUGAAGGUUUAUGAUGUGGAUAGCCAUGGGGAGCUAUUGCCACUGCUGGCCAGACUGACGAGGAGAGCAGCAUAUCCCAUUACCAGGAGCAUAUGGAUUUCUUAGUUUCUUUAUUUCACUUUUUUAGAUAAAGACAGGUGACCAUCAAUGUAAACAGUUCCUGUAUUACUGUAUUUUCUAAAAUUUUAGGGUUCAAGCAUCUCUUUCACUAUAUACCUACAGCCAAUCCAAAGUGAAGAGAUAAUUCCCUUCUUCCUGUGAUAUAAUGCUCUCCCACUAAGCUUUGGUCUUGUUUCUCCUCUGAUUGCCUCUUUCACAUUAUUUUAGCUGUUGAGCUUUCUGCAGAAGGGAGUCUAUUUCCUAGAAAACAGGUAGCUAUGCAGGAGGACAAAGAAAAUGAAGUACUGCCUGCUGUGGAGGACUGUGUGAAGAACAGAAAGGUUACCGAUCUGAUUCCUGUGAUCCAAGAAAGCUUCGCAAAAGGGUGUGCAGUUUUCACAAUCUAAAUCCAUACUGAAGCUUUUGUAAAGCCUGACAAACAACUUGAUGAUGGUGCAAAAGCAUGUGGCUGAGAGAUGCACUGCCAGAUGGUGUGCCUGUACCAGUAGGUUUGUGAGAUGUGUUUCGUGGGAAUGCUUAAGAAGACACAGCCAAGGAGCCUCUUUACUGAAGUUGAACUGGCUGUUCCUGAUCAAGUGUUGUUCUGCUGAGCCCCAAGCCUGGUCUGCACUGGUGGAACUUGGCAGUCUCUAUUGCUUACAAGUUGAUGUUUUUUAUCAUGUCCUCACCUCCUCCCACUGUGCUUGCAGCAAUACUAGAGAGGGAAAGAGCAGUUUCAGAAUGACUGGCCUUUGAACAGCU